GACGAACGCUGGCGGCGCGCUUAACACAUGCAAGUCGAACGGAAAGGCCUGCUUUCCCUUGUGGAUUGCGGGUACUCGAGUGGCGAACGGGUGAGUAACACGUGAGUGAUCUGCCCCCAACUUGGGUAUAAGCCUGGGAAACUGGGUCUAAUUCCCGAUAGGACUGCAGGGUGGUGCCUGUGGUGGAAAACGAUUUUCUAGUGGUUGGGGAUGAGCUCGCGGCCUAUCAGCUUGUUGGUGGGGUAAUGGCCUACCAAGGCGGCGACGGGUAGCCGGCCUGAGAGGGUGGACGGACACAUUGGGACUGAGAUACGGCCCAGACUCCUACGGGAGGCAGCAGUGGGGAAUAUUGCACAAUGGGCGGAAGCCUGAUGCAGCGACGCCGCGUGGGGGAUGACGGCCUUCGGGUUGUAAACUCCUUUCGACCGAGAGGAAGCCACCUGGUUGGAAGGGUGGUGACGGUAGUGGUAGAAGAAGCACCGGCUAACUACGUG
RNAcentral lists this ribosomal RNA (494 nucleotides) under uncultured bacterium. RNAcentral describes it as "partial 16S ribosomal RNA". It matches the Rfam family "Bacterial small subunit ribosomal RNA", at positions 28 to 507 of the family's 1533-position model. The record is from RNAcentral.